Molecule: non-coding RNA, 1251 nt
Organism: Lynx canadensis (Canada lynx)
Lineage: Eukaryota; Metazoa; Chordata; Mammalia; Carnivora; Felidae
Source: the annotation of a RefSeq genome assembly
UUCUUUCUUUCUUUCUUUCUUUCUUUCUUUCUUUCUUUCUUUCUUUCCUUUCUUUCUUUUCCUUCCUUCCUUUUUUCCUGUCUGUCUUUCUGUCUUUCCUUCCUUCCUUCCUUCUUUCCUUUUUUUUUUUUCUCUUAUCAUUUCCAUUUUCCAUCAGCAUUUUUCUGUGAUUACUACUUCCAUGGAAAACAGAUAUUUUUCUAAAUUAAUCUAAGGAAAACAUAAAAUAUCAUAUGCCAUGAAGACUAUAAUUCAAGGGCUUCCAAGAGAACUCAGAAGAUCAAAUUGCCAGGACAAAGUUUUUAAGCUGGUCAUGCCGUGAAGCUUAGCUGAAAAUUUUGUAGAACGUCUAACCUGGCUGGAUCAAGAUAUUUGUAGAAUGAAGUAAGCUCAUAGUAACUCCCACUGAUGAACGUCCUGUUGAGAACAUUUCCCCAAAGCCUACAAUUUUUCUUCCUUCAAUUGCUGAAAGAAAACUCCAUAAGACUGGAACAUAUCUUUGUCUUCUUGAGGAUUUUUUCCCUGGUGUUAUCGAGAUAUAUUGGAAAGAAAAGAAUGGCAAAACAAUUCUGGAAUCUCAGCAGGGAAACACCAUGAAAACUAAGGACACAUAUAUGAAAUACACCUGGCUGACCGUGAGUGAAGAGUCAAUGGGUAAAGAACACAAAUGUGUUGUCAAACAUGAUAGUAAUAAAGGAGGGGUCGAUCAAGAGAUUCUUUUUCCUUCAAUAGACAAAGAUUUGGUGUCGGUGAUGGGAUCUGAAAUGGACUUCCAGGGGCAAUCAGAGACAAGGAGACAGCCAGGGGAGGUAACUGUGAGCCCCUUGAGUUCACUGUCCUCCUCACCAUUUUCAAGGGCGGUAGAUCUCACUGCUAUUCACUCUACAGAAGCUUCUCUGAAGGAUGAAAAUGACGCCCUGCAUCUGCAUCUAGUGAACAACUCUGCCUACUAUACCUACCUCCUGCUCCUCCUCAAGAGCAUGGUCUAUUCUGCCAUUAUCACUGUCAAUCUGCUUGGGAAACCCACACUCUUUGGUAAUGGGAAGAGUUCCUAACACAUGGUGGCACAAAAGGUCCACCUUUUUCCAUUGGCUGUUAUCCCUAAAAGCCAGUAGGCACCUUCCAGUCAUGUCCCCUGGGGCUCUUUAACAAGAUGACUUCCUUGAAGCCUUUUAAUUUACAUACCCUGAGGCCUCUAUCUUUGUUAAUGAAUUCUGUACUGUUUUUCAUAAAAAGAACAAGUAAAAUAAU